CUACGUGCCAGCAGCCGCGGUAAUACGGAGGAUGCGAGCGUUAUCCGGAUUUAUUGGGUUUAAAGGGUGCGUAGGCGGCCUGUUAAGUCAGCGGUGAAAUCUAGGAGCUUAACUCCUAAAUUGCCAUUGAUACUGGCGGGCUUGAGUGUAAAUGAGGUAGGCGGAAUGCGUGGUGUAGCGGUGGAAUGCAUAGAUAUCACGCAGAACUCCGAUUGCGAAGGCAGCUUACUAAGGUACAACUGACGCUGAAGCACGAAAGCGUGGGUAUCAAACAGGAUUAGAUACCCUGGUAGUCCACGCAGUAAACGAUGAUAACUGGGCGUAUGCGAUAUACAGUAUGCUCCUAAGCGAAAGCGUUAAGUUAUCCACCUGGGGAGUACGCCGGCAACGGUGAAACUCAAAGGAAUUGACGGGGGCCCGCACAAGCGGAGGAACAUGUGGUUUAAUUCGAUGAUACGCGAGGAACCUUACCCGGGAU
This 478-nucleotide ribosomal RNA is filed under the name uncultured bacterium. RNAcentral describes it as "bacterial SSU rRNA". It matches the Rfam family "Bacterial small subunit ribosomal RNA", at positions 501 to 981 of the family's 1533-position model. The record is from RNAcentral.